This 493-nucleotide ribosomal RNA is filed under the name uncultured bacterium. RNAcentral's name for it is "bacterial SSU rRNA". It matches the Rfam family "Bacterial small subunit ribosomal RNA", at positions 25 to 518 of the family's 1533-position model. The record is from RNAcentral.
CAGGACGAACGCUGGCGGCGCGCCUAACACAUGCAAGUCGAACGGAGCUGCACUUCUGAAGUUUCGGAUGGACGAGGUACAAGCUUAGUGGCGAACGGGUGAGUAACACGUGAAGAACCUGCCCUUCAUGGGGGACAACAGUUGGAAACGACUGCUAAUACCGCAUAAGACCACAGUACCGCAUGGUACAGUGAUCAAAGGAUUUAUUCGCUGAAGGAUGGCUUCGCGUCCGAUUAGGUAGUUGGUGAGGUAACGGCCCACCAAGCCUACGAUCGGUAGCCGGACUGAGAGGUUGAUCGGCCACAUUGGGACUGAGACACGGCCCAGACUCCUACGGGAGGCAGCAGUGGGGAAUAUUGCACAAUGGAGGAAACUCUGAUGCAGCGACGCCGCGUGAGGGAAGAAGGUCUUCGGAUUGUAAACCUCUGUCUUCAGGGACGAUAAUGACGGUACCUGAGGAGGAAGCACCGGCUAACUACGUGCCAGCCGCAGC